Molecule: non-coding RNA, 180 nt
Filed under: Sulfitobacter noctilucicola
Lineage: Bacteria; Pseudomonadati; Pseudomonadota; Alphaproteobacteria; Rhodobacterales; Roseobacteraceae
Description: Ruegeria cis52 sRNA
Rfam family: Ruegeria cis52 sRNA
About the family: Cis-encoded. Targets oligo/dipeptide ABC transporter. Functions in transport.
Source: Rfam by way of RNAcentral
UUGCGCAAUGCGUGUUUGAGCACGAUAUCAGAGAACUUCACACCCUUAAGGCGCGCCGUGCGAAUAUAUUGCGCGGUCAUAACCUCGGCCAUAGAGGCCCGCGUCAUCCGCGCGAUAUAUCCCAUGCCAUAAAGCGAAAUCGUCAACACCGGCAGGAAGAAAUUCCAGAAGUUUGCAUCC